Meriones unguiculatus (Mongolian gerbil) is the source of this 707-nucleotide non-coding RNA. Lineage: Eukaryota; Metazoa; Chordata; Mammalia; Rodentia; Muridae. The record is from the annotation of a RefSeq genome assembly.
CUGGGGCACCAUGAUGGAGUCACACCAGGUCUUUGUAUUACUGCUCCUCGGUAUGUCUGGUGCUGAGGGGAACAUUGUGAUGACCCAGUCUCCAGAAUUCAUGUCCACAUCUGUAGGAGACAGGAUCACUCUAGGCUGCAAGGCCAGUCAGAGUGUGAGUAAUGAAGUACAUUGGUACCUACAGAAAUCAGGGCAGCCUCCUAAACUGCUAAUUUCCUAUGCAUCCAAUCGAGCCUCUGGGGUCCCUGAUCGCUUUACAGGCGUUAUAUCUGGGACAGAUUACACUCUCAACAUCAGCAGUGUGCAGGCUGAAGACCUGGCAGUUUAUUACUGUCUACAGAGUUACAGCUAUCCACCCACAGUGCUUCAUCCUCCAACACAAACCUCCUUGAAUGUCUCAUCAGCUGCCUGCACCACACACAGCCCUGGGCCUGCACACUUCCUCUUUCUGCCUGGGAUUUGUUAUGCAUGACUGAUUAAUAAUUAAGAUACAGCCUCCUCCGUUCUUCCAUAGAUUUGUCAACACUGGUGUUUAUAGAUUAAAAGGAGAAGCUAAGUUAAGAGAUUUACAAGUUUUGUUGUUGCACUGAGAACAUAUACUACAUGCUAGAAGCAUCAGAGAAGUGUACAGGGUCGUGGUGGCUUUCAAUAUCUUUUUGUUAUGCUUUCAGGCUAUGAUAAAUUUGUAUAAAAAUAGAAUAGAAUUU